UACGGGGGGAGCAAGCGUUGUUCGGAAUCACUGGGCGUAAAGGGUGUCUAGGCGGUUGUUUAAGUUUGGUGUGAAAUCUCCCGGCUCAACUGGGAGGGUGCGCCGAAUACUGAAUGACUAGAGUGCGGGAGAGGAAAGUGGAAUUCCUGGUGUAGCGGUGAAAUGCGUAGAUAUCAGGAGGAACACCGGUGGUGUAGACGGCUUUCUGGACCGUAACUGACGCUGAGACACGAAAGCGUGGGGAGCGAACAGG
Molecule: ribosomal RNA, 253 nt
Filed under: uncultured bacterium
Lineage: Bacteria
Description: partial 16S ribosomal RNA
Rfam family: Bacterial small subunit ribosomal RNA
Source: RNAcentral